RNAcentral lists this ribosomal RNA (497 nucleotides) under uncultured bacterium. Its description in RNAcentral is "partial 16S ribosomal RNA". It matches the Rfam family "Bacterial small subunit ribosomal RNA", at positions 28 to 507 of the family's 1533-position model. The record is from RNAcentral.
GAUGAACGCUGGCGGCGUGCCUAAUACAUGCAAGUCGAGCGAACGGACGAGAAGCUUGCUGCUCUGAUGUUAGCGGCGGACGGGUGAGUAACACGUGUAUAACCUACCUAUAAGACUGGGAUAACUUCGGGAAGCCGGAGCUAAUACCGGAUAAUAUUUUGAACCGCAUGGUUCAAAAGUGAAAGACGGUCUUGCUGUCACUUAUAGAUGGAUCCGCGCUGCAUUAGCUAGUUGGUAAGGUAACGGCUUACCAAGGCAACGAUGCAUAGCCGACCUGAGAGGGUGAUCGGCCACACGGGAGCUGAGACAGGGACCAGACUCCUGCGGGAGGCAGCAGUAGGGAAUCUUCCGCAAUGGGCGAAAGCCUGACGGAGCAACGCCGCGUGAGUGAUGACGGUCUUCGGAUCGUAAAACUCUGUUAUUAGGGGAGAACAUAUGUGUAAGUAACUGUGCACAUCUUGACGGUACCUAAUCAGAAAGCCACGGCUAACUACGUG